This 301-nucleotide ribosomal RNA is filed under the name uncultured bacterium. RNAcentral describes it as "partial 16S ribosomal RNA". It matches the Rfam family "Bacterial small subunit ribosomal RNA", at positions 509 to 807 of the family's 1533-position model. The record is from RNAcentral.
CAGCCGCCGCGGGAAUACAGAGGGUGCGAGCGUUAAUCGGAUUUACUGGGCGUAAAGCGUGCGUAGGCGGCUUCUUAAGUCGGAUGUGAAAUCCCUGAGCUUAACUUAGGAAUUGCAUUCGAUACUGGGAAGCUAGAGUAUGGGAGAGGAUGGUAGAAUUCCAGGUGUAGCGGUGAAAUGCGUAGAGAUCUGGAGGAAUACCGAUGGCGAAGGCAGCCAUCUGGCCUAAUACUGACGCUGAGGUGCGAAAGCGUGGGGAGCAAACAGGAUUAGAUACCCCAGUAGUCCCUGUCUCUUAUAC